GGGUCAGUAGGUUGGUCGUGCCACCGGUACGUACUGGUCUCACUGAUUCCUCCUUCCUGAAGAACCGUAAUGCCAUUCAUUUGGUGUUGCGGGGAAACAGGACUGGUACUUUGAAAAAAUUAGAGUGUUUAAAGCAAGCUAACGCUUGAAUACAUUAGCAUGGAAUAAUGAAAUAGGACGAUCGAUCCUAUUUUGCUGGUUUCUAGGAUUGACGUA
RNAcentral lists this ribosomal RNA (216 nucleotides) under Glomeromycotina sp. Its description in RNAcentral is "partial small subunit ribosomal RNA". The stretch from base 44 to 216 matches the Rfam family "Eukaryotic small subunit ribosomal RNA", at positions 690 to 864 of the family's 1831-position model. Lineage: Eukaryota; Fungi; Glomeromycota. The record is from RNAcentral.